GGACUACAAGGGUAUCUAAUCCUGUUUGCUCCCCACGCUUUCGCACAUGAGCGUCAAUGCCAGACCAGGUAGUCGCCUUCGCCACUGGUGUUCUUCCAAAUAUCUACGAAUUUCACCUCUACACUUGGAAUUCCACUACCCUCUUCUGGAUUCUAGCUCACCAGUCUUAAAAGCAAUUCCCAGGUUAAGCCCGGGGCUUUCACUCCUAAUUUAGUGAGCCGCCUGCGUGCGCUUUACGCCCAGUAAUUCCGAACAACGCUAGCCCCCUUCGUAUUACCGCGGCUGCUGGCAC
This 292-nucleotide ribosomal RNA is filed under the name uncultured bacterium. RNAcentral's name for it is "partial 16S ribosomal RNA". The record is from RNAcentral.